This 134-nucleotide non-coding RNA is filed under the name Microscilla marina. Lineage: Bacteria; Pseudomonadati; Bacteroidota; Cytophagia; Cytophagales; Microscillaceae. The record is from RNAcentral.
GCUUGGUUUAAAACCAAACUCUUACGCUAUGCAAAUAAAGUAAUAAGGAAUCGUGUGAAAAUCAUGAGCUGACGCGCAACUGUAACUGGAAAAACUCCACAAGCCAGGAUACUUUACUUUAUUUGUCAAUUUGA